This 297-nucleotide signal recognition particle RNA is filed under the name Nomascus leucogenys (northern white-cheeked gibbon). RNAcentral's name for it is "Metazoan signal recognition particle RNA". It matches the Rfam family "Metazoan signal recognition particle RNA". From Rfam's summary of the family: The signal recognition particle (SRP) is a universally conserved ribonucleoprotein. It is involved in the co-translational targeting of proteins to membranes. The eukaryotic SRP consists of a 300-nucleotide 7S RNA and six proteins: SRPs 72, 68, 54, 19, 14, and 9. The record is from Rfam by way of RNAcentral. Lineage: Eukaryota; Metazoa; Chordata; Mammalia; Primates; Hylobatidae.
GCCAGGCUCAGUGGCGCAUGCCUGUAGUCCCAGCUACUCGGGAGGCUGAGCUGGGAGGAUCGCUGGAGCCCAGGAGUUCUGGGCUGUACUGUGCUAUGUCGAUCAGGCGUCCACUCUAAGUUUGACAUUAACAUGGUGACCUCCUGGGAGCAGGAGAACCACCAGGUUCACCUGGGGCGAACUAGCCCAGGUCAAAAAUGGAGCAGGUCAAAACUCCUGUGCUGAUUAGUAGCGGGACUGUGCCUGUGAAUAGCCACUGCACUCUAGCCUGGGCAAUAUAGCAAGACCCCAUCUCUA